Long non-coding RNA from Girardinichthys multiradiatus, 2525 nucleotides. RefSeq lists it as uncharacterized. The record is from RefSeq and is a predicted model, not a curated record. Lineage: Eukaryota; Metazoa; Chordata; Actinopteri; Cyprinodontiformes; Goodeidae. The transcript has 3 exons.
CGCUUUGUGUUUAUCUAAAAUCCCCAUAAAAAUACAUUGAAGUUUGUCGUUGUUCAAGUUCAAGUACUCUUGCAAGGCAUUGUAGCUGCAGUCUAAAACAUCUCUCGAACAAGCAUGAUAUAUUUGAAAUGGUAGAUAAUAAACAUGUUUUUCGCCACAGUUGUUGAUUCACAAGCUGAGGCGAGGCACAUUCUUUCACACUCCACAAAAGUUCACACAGUCUAAAGGGUGCCUGUCCUUUUUGCUCCGUCAUUGCACAGCUCGGUAAGCCUGGACUAAUCCUGUCCUGCCACCGCAAAUAAAACCCCAAGCCCUAAAUACAUUUCAGAAGUACAAACGAGGAACUGGAGCAUUACUUUAGGUGGGAUGCAUGGAGAAGAAGGUGGGCUGCUGGGGCAUGUCUGAGCAAGUCCUAGCAACAUUUUUCUUUGUGUUAUAACAGAAGGUGGGAAACUCCUCAUCCUUUAUCUUUACUGCCUCAGAAAAACGGCUGCCCUGUCAGGCUCAGAGGGCGGAGUUUAACCUUUCUUUCCACUGUGCUGCUGCACGUUGGGAAGGUUUAUAAAAGGCUUAGAUCACAGAUCAAAAGCACAGGAAACGGACCUGCUCACACUGGAGAUGGUGGCAGCGUGUCACACUGUAACCCAUCUUGCAGAUUAUCCUGCUCAGGGCUUUUAUUAUUUAAUAGUAGUGCAAAUUGAUGAUUGUUUAGGGCGCCUAAAAUUGAUGUUUAUGUUCUUGCAGGAAAGGUGUUUCCCCUACGUUUUUGUUUCUCAUGUAACUUCGUCUCACAUCACUUCAAGAAUUGCACGCUGUGAACUGUAAUUUAAUAGUUUUAUUGAUAGUUUUGCAUCUUUCCAAACAUUUUGCACUUUUUAUGAAAGGUUGUGGCCAUUGUGGGGGCGACAUUCUCCACGUGCGGAGCUCCCUGAAAACUGACAGGACUGUGUGCAAAAACUCACCCACUUGCUACAUUGUCAAGUCUGCCAACCAGACUACAGCUCAGCACUCAAAAAUGUAUUGAAUUUACUACCCUCAAAGUAUUUUUCUUAAAUAAGGAGGCACAGAGUGAGUUGUUACUGUCUAAACAGGCAGGGAUGGAGAGUCAGAGAGAUGUUAAAAGUUUAGUCACAGCAAAACCUCAGCAAAUCUGAGAUUUAGUCUAAAUUGUUUAGGAUUCCUGCACAGGAAAGAACAUGAGGCAUAAACAAGUGCAAAAACAGACUCGUACUAGGAUUGUCAGCUGCUCUUGUCCCUAUCAGUUCAUUUGUCUGCAUGUCUGGGUCAGAGUUGAAACAAUAUGCAGUGUGACACACAGCAGGCCAAUACAGAAAGGUAAACUCUAGGCUGACUCAUCAGAGGUGCAUUUUGGGCUGCUGGAGGUGGUUUAUGGAGCUUUGUAUCCUUUCAUAUGAAAAUUAAAACAAGGUAACACAUUUUAUUUCUUAAAUGUAUUUUAAUUGCAAUGGAUUUUAUUUGGGGGUGUCAGAAGAUGGAAUAUAAAGCAUGCAACAUUUAAAAUUUGUAUUUGUAACUAUUGUAAAUCUGAAAAUAAUGCUUUUCUGUAGACUUCGCAAAAAAUUGCUACUUUGUGUUGAUUUAUCAUAUAAAAUCCAACCAAAAUAUAUUUUUUUGGGUUUAUGGUUUCACCAUGACAAAAGGUAAAAUAGAUCAUCAUAAAUACAACAAAUAUACUGUGGACCUUAUCAUUUUACUAAAUUAUCCUUUUAUUAACCAUUCUCUAUAUGCACUUUAUCUUAUUCAGGGUCACCACUGAGCAUUGGCAAAAACAUAUGGAACAGCCUGAACAGGACGUCCACAGAGACACAUGGACAUGCAGGCAACCAUGGACGCUUGCCAUCAAAUCUAAAGGUGAGCAUGUAGUUGCCAAUUAAGCUAAUAGGCAUAUUUUGGGAUUGUGGGGAGGAAUACUCCACGCAUGCGCAAAACAUGAAGAGUCCACUCAGAUUGUAAUACAUUUUAUGUAAAUAUGUUUGGAAGUUUUUAUCAGUUUUUCAACCAAUUGGCAGGUCACGCAGAUAGAACUUAUUAGUGAGUUAAAAUAAACCUUUCAGUUUGAAAAUUUACCGAAAUGAAAUAAAAUUACUGAAAGCUGAAAAUAUGUUAUUAAAUUAAUAGACACAAAUACAAAUAUACACGAUUAUAGAAGCAAUAAAUACAGUAUUUAAAAUUAUAAAUAAAAACGUAUUUCCAACACUAAAGGACUGAGUUUUAUCACUAUGGUUUUCAGUUUUGUAGUCUUAUGUUUGGUAUGGUUAUUAAUUUAGCGCUGUGUCAUUGUAUCAUCCUAAUGUUUUCCCUUCUGUUAGGUUUAUAGUAGGGGUGUAACAGCACACAAAAACAAUGGUCGGGUUUUAAAGUGAUGCUUCGGUACGCCUUUGGUACAUUUAAUUUAAGAGAAACACAGUUGUAUACAUAUCUCUAUUAUUUAGAAUAUUUCAAAACGAACCAACUGGAGAUCUGGUUUGAUUUUGUCAAUUGAUAAAUCCAUAUUCACUGCUCAA